UCGUAGGUAGUAAUAAUAUCCGGUGCAC
RNAcentral lists this small RNA (28 nucleotides) under Bombyx mori (domestic silkworm). Its description in RNAcentral is "ovarian small RNA-29173". The record is from RNAcentral. Lineage: Eukaryota; Metazoa; Arthropoda; Insecta; Lepidoptera; Bombycidae.